RNAcentral lists this long non-coding RNA (325 nucleotides) under Homo sapiens (human). RNAcentral describes it as "HSALNT0310453". Lineage: Eukaryota; Metazoa; Chordata; Mammalia; Primates; Hominidae. The record is from RNAcentral.
CGGUGCGGGCCGGUGCGGGCCAGUGCAGGCCAGGCCCGGCCGGGGCGAGGCAGGUGGCCAGGUCCGAGGACCGCGUCGCACAGCAGCUUUCAGGACCUGGAGAGAAAUCGAGAUGAAGAAGGGAAGUCACUUGCUUCAUGGCCAGGGAAGGGCUCCAGCAAGACAUGGGCUCCUGAAAGUGACAGUGUGUGAAGGCCCGGAGAGGCACAGGACCUGCUGGAGGAUGCCAAAGUAAACUUGGUGGCCACAUGUCAAAGACGGAGAUGCACAAAAUGGGAGGAACCUAGAUCCCUGAAUGACUUUGUGGAGCUGAGCCCCUAGGCCA